CCCGGCGUCUCCAUCUCCCGCUGCAAUUGCUUGGCAAAGCCAGGCAAUGGCCUGACAAUCACUUCGCGCCAUCGACACUGCAGUGACAAGGACUCCACGCUGGAGCUUGUCCUGCACAACACCCACAGGUGUCAGAGGCCUGUGGCCCCAGUGGAGGAAAUGACCCGUUGCAGCCGUCCAUUCAAACCUCCCUCGCCUGACCCGGGGACCCCCUGCUGUUUCUCCCCACUCGCUGAUGAUUAUUGACUGGCACAGUGGAAGACUAACUCAGCCCUGAAAAAGGACGGCCCUCCGGCUCGGCGAAGGCAUCCCCGACCACAGACCACACCGUGCAAAUGGUGGAGCUGCUUUGCCUGGUGCAAAUCCCAGAUCACGAGACCUCGCCCUGCUCCCCAAAGGACAGCCGGAAGCCUCCUUUGUAUGCGAUAUGGCCGACCGAAGGAUGUCUUCAAAGGAUUAUGGCGGUGUCCCAGCAAGUCAUUCUGCAAACCGUGAGCUCAGCCCCGCGUAGGUAUCCACCUGCACACCUUUGCAAGGGCAUGUACAGCAGGACGGGUCUGUCAUGCUCUUUUUGGGGUCAUUGGACCUUUGCCCAGGCCGGCUGCUCUGAUUGCAUGGUGGAGCUUACCCAGA
Non-coding RNA from Castor canadensis (American beaver), 633 nucleotides. The record is from RefSeq and is a predicted model, not a curated record. Lineage: Eukaryota; Metazoa; Chordata; Mammalia; Rodentia; Castoridae.